UACGGAGGAUCCAAGCGUUAUCCGGAAUUACUGGGUGUAAAGAGUUGCGUAGGUGGCAUAGUAAGCAAGUAGUGAAAGCGUUCGGCUCAACCGGAUAUCCAUUACUUGAACUGCUAAGCUAGAGAAUGAGAGAGGUCACUGGAAUUCCCUGUGUAGGAGUGAAAUCCGUAGAUAUAGGGAGGAACACCGAUGGCGUAGGCAGGUGACUGGCUCAUUUCUGACACUAAGGCACGAAAGCGUGGGGAGCAAA
This 250-nucleotide ribosomal RNA is filed under the name uncultured bacterium. RNAcentral describes it as "partial 16S ribosomal RNA". It matches the Rfam family "Bacterial small subunit ribosomal RNA", at positions 524 to 772 of the family's 1533-position model. The record is from RNAcentral.